UCGCAGAGCAUGUUUUCGAUCCACGGAUGUCUGGCUUAUGGGCCCAGCACGCUUCCACUGCGCCACUCUGCU
This 72-nucleotide transfer RNA is filed under the name Araneus ventricosus. RNAcentral describes it as "tRNA-Met". The record is from RNAcentral. Lineage: Eukaryota; Metazoa; Arthropoda; Arachnida; Araneae; Araneidae.